ACUCCCGCCGUGGGUCCCCCUGAAUAAGCGGCUGAAAUCUCCUGAGGGGCCCACCUUGGCAUGGACCUGCCAGCUUCCGGAGCCUUCCGCCUCCACCUGUCCCCUCCUACAGAGGCCAGCACUGUGACACGUGGUCUUAUGUGCUGAUACCAGCAGCCCAGCCCGGGCAGUUCACUGUGGACCAUGGUGUGGGCAGGAGCUGGUUGCUGCCUCCCGGGACGCUGGACCAGUUCAUCUGCCUGGGCAGAGCUCAGGGCCUCUCGGAUGACAACAUUGUCUUCCCAGAUGUGACCGGAGGUGCCCUGGACCUUAGCAGCCUGCCCUGGGUGGCAGCCCCAGCCUUACUACUCAGAGAGCCCCGGCCCCCAAGGCCUGACUCUUCUUGUGGGAGGGCGAGGCUGGUCACCCCAGGCCAGUGUCUGUUGAAGGAUGAAGCAGCUCCUGUCCGGCCCAGCCCUGCCUCACAGCUGCGCGAGCUCUGCCCUCCUCAGCUCUCAAACCUGAAUAAAUGCACCAAGCCCAGA
RNAcentral lists this small RNA (524 nucleotides) under Pongo abelii (Sumatran orangutan). RNAcentral's name for it is "processed transcript". The record is from RNAcentral. Lineage: Eukaryota; Metazoa; Chordata; Mammalia; Primates; Hominidae.